RNAcentral lists this ribosomal RNA (481 nucleotides) under uncultured bacterium. RNAcentral describes it as "bacterial SSU rRNA". It matches the Rfam family "Bacterial small subunit ribosomal RNA", at positions 903 to 1397 of the family's 1533-position model. The record is from RNAcentral.
AAAGGAAUAGACGGGUACCCGCACAAGCAGCGGAGCGUGUGGUUUAAUUCGUUGCUACACGAAGAACCUUACCUGGGUUUGACAUAUAGGUGGUAGAGAACUGAAAAGAGAUCGACCCUUCGGGGAGCCUAUACAGGUGUUGCAUGGCUGUCGUCAGCUCGUGUCGUGAGAUGUUCGGUUAAGUCCGCAAACGAGCGCAACCCUCGUCGUAUGUUACAUGUGUCAUACGAGACUGCCGGUAAAAAGCCGGAGGAAGGCGAGGAUGAUGUCAAGUCAGCAUGACCUUUAUAUCCAGGGCUACACACACGCUACAAUGGCCUGAACAAUGGGUAGCCAAGCCGCGAGGCGGAGCCAAUCCUUAAAGCAGGUCUCAGUUCGGAUUGCAGUCUGCAACUCGACUGCAUGAAGUAGGAGUUGCUAGUAACCGCAGGUCAGCUAUACUGCGGUGAAUACGUUCCCGGGUAUUGUACACACCGCCCGU